Sturnus vulgaris (Common starling) is the source of this 198-nucleotide non-coding RNA. The record is from RefSeq and is a predicted model, not a curated record. Lineage: Eukaryota; Metazoa; Chordata; Aves; Passeriformes; Sturnidae.
CUGCGGACAGCAUGACCGGGCUGUGCCUCUCUUGCCUGCUCUGGCCCCAGGACCUGGAGGCCCCUCCAGCUCACACCUUCAAGAUGACAAGCUUCAAGAAAGUGAAGGCAUGCGGGAUCUGCCGGCAGGCCAUCACGCGCCAGGGCAGCACCUGCAGAGGAUGCAAGCUCUCCUGCCACACCAAGUGCCAAGCCAAGG